GGGAUAACUAUUGGAAACGAUAGCUAAUACCGCAUAACAAUGGAUGACACAUGUCAUUUAUUUGAAAGGGGCAAUUGCUCCACUACAAGAUGGACCUGCGUUGUAUUAGCUAGUAGGUGAGGUAACGGCUCACCUAGGCGACGAUACAUAGCCGACCUGAGAGGGUGAUCGGCCACACUGGGACUGAGACACGGCCCAGACUCCUACGGGAGGCAGCAGUAGGGAAUCUUCGGCAAUGGGGGCAACCCUGACCGAGCAACGCCGCGUGAGUGAAGAAGGUUUUCGGAUCGUAAAGCUCUGUUGUAAGUCAAGAACGAGUGUGAGAGUGGAAAGUUCACACUGUGACGGUAGCUUACCAGAAAGGGACGGCUAACUACGUGCCAGCAGCCGCGGUAAUACGUAGGUCCCGAGCGUUGUCCGGAUUUAUUGGGCGUAAAGCGAGCGCAGGCGGUUUGAUAAGUCUGAAGUUAAAGGCUGUGGCUCAACCAUAGUUCGCUUUGGAAACUGUCAAACUUGAGUGCAGAAGGGGAGAGUGGAAUUCCAUGUGUAGCGGUGAAAUGCGUAGAUAUAUGGAGGAACACCGGUGGCGAAAGCGGCUCUCUGGUCUGUAACUGACGCUGAGGCUCGAAAGCGUGGGGAGCGAACAGGAUUAGAUACCCUGGUAGUCCACGCCGUAAACGAUGAGUGAUAGGUGUUGGAUCCUUUCCGGGAUUCAGUGCCGCAG
This 724-nucleotide ribosomal RNA is filed under the name uncultured bacterium. RNAcentral's name for it is "bacterial SSU rRNA". It matches the Rfam family "Bacterial small subunit ribosomal RNA", at positions 140 to 851 of the family's 1533-position model. The record is from RNAcentral.